UAAUUUGAGAGUUUGAUCCUGGCUCAGGACGAACGCUGGCGGCGUGCCUAAUACAUGCAAGUCGAACGAACUCUGGUAUUGAUUGGUGCUUGCAUCAUGAUUUACAUUUGAGUGAGUGGCGAACUGGUGAGUAACACGUGGGAAACCUGCCCAGAAGCGGGGGAUAACACCUGGAAACAGAUGCUAAUACCGCAUAACAACUUGGACCGCAUGGUCCGAGUUUGAAAGAUGGCUUCGGCUAUCACUUUUGGAUGGUCCCGCGGCGUAUUAGCUAGAUGGUGGGGUAACGGCUCACCAUGGCAAUGAUACGUAGCCGACCUGAGAGGGUAAUCGGCCACAUUGGGACUGAGACACGGCCCAAACUCCUACGGGAGGCAGCAGUAGGGAAUCUUCCACAAUGGACGAAAGUCUGAUGGAGCAACGCCGCGUGAGUGAAGAAGGGUUUCGGCUCGUAAAACUCUGUUGUUAAAGAAGAACAUAUCUGAGAGUAACUGUUCAGGUAUUGACGGUAUUUAACCAGAAAGCCACGGCUAACUACGUGCCAGCAGCCGCGGUAAUACGUAGGUGGCAAGCGUUGUCCGGAUUUAUUGGGCGUAAAGCGAGCGCAGGCGGUUUUUUAAGUCUGAUGUGAAAGCCUUCGGCUCAACCGAAGAAGUGCAUCGGAAACUGGGAAACUUGAGUGCAGAAGAGGACAGUGGAACUCCAUGUGUAGCGGUGAAAUGCGUAGAUAUAUGGAAGAACACCAGUGGCGAAGGCGGCUGUCUGGUCUGUAACUGACGCUGAGGCUCGAAAGUAUGGGUAGCAAACAGGAUUAGAUACCCUGGUAGUCCAUACCGUAAACGAUGAAUGCUAAGUGUUGGAGGGUUUCCGCCCUUCAGUGCUGCAGCUAACGCAUUAAGCAUUCCGCCUGGGGAGUACGGCCGCAAGGCUGAAACUCAAAGGAAUUGACGGGGGCCCGCACAAGCGGUGGAGCAUGUGGUUUAAUUCGAAGCUACGCGAAGAACCUUACCAGGUCUUGACAUACUAUGCAAAUCUAAGAGAUUAGACGUUCCCUUCGGGGACAUGGAUACAGGUGGUGCAUGGUUGUCGUCAGCUCGUGUCGUGAGAUGUUGGGUUAAGUCCCGCAACGAGCGCAACCCUUAUUAUCAGUUGCCAGCAUUGAGUUGGGCACUCUGGUGAGACUGCCGGUGACAAACCGGAGGAAGGUGGGGAUGACGUCAAAUCAUCAUGCCCCUUAUGACCUGGGCUACACACGUGCUACAAUGGAUGGUACAACGAGUUGCGAACUCGCGAGAGUAAGCUAAUCUCUUAAAGCCAUUCUCAGUUCGGAUUGUAGGCUGCAACUCGCCUACAUGAAGUCGGAAUCGCUAGUAAUCGCGGAUCAGCAUGCCGCGGUGAAUACGUUCCCGGGCCUUGUACACACCGCCCGUCACACCAUGAGAGUUUGUAACACCCAAAGUCGGUGGGGUAACCUUUUAGGAACCAGCCGCCUAAGGUGGGACAGAUGAUUAGGGUGAAGUCGUAACAAGGUAGCCGUAGGAGAACCUGCGGCUGGAUCACCUCCUUU
Molecule: ribosomal RNA, 1567 nt
Filed under: Lactiplantibacillus plantarum
Lineage: Bacteria; Bacillati; Bacillota; Bacilli; Lactobacillales; Lactobacillaceae
Description: 16S ribosomal RNA
Rfam family: Bacterial small subunit ribosomal RNA
Source: RNAcentral